GUUCUCGAUCUUAAGUCCACAUACCAACUCAAGGCCUAACUUGUUCUCGAUCCUAAGUCCACAUACCAACUCAAGGCCUAACUUGUUCUCGAUCCUAGGUCCACAUACCAACUCAUGGCCGAGCUUGUCUAGAUCCUAGGUCUACAUACCAACUCAUGGCCUAACUUGUUCUCAAUCCUAAGUCCACAUACCAACUCAAGGCCUAACUUGUUCCCAAACCUAGGUCCACAUACCAACUCAUGGCCUGAGCUUGUCUAGAUCCUAGGUCCACAUACCAACUCAUGGCCUAACUUGUUCUCGAUCCUAAGUCCACAUACCAACUCAAGGCCUAACUUGUUCCCGAUCCUAGGUCUACAUACCAACUCAAGGCCUAACUUGUUCCCAAACCUAGGUCCACAUACCAACUCAUGGCCCGAGCUUGUCUAGAUCCUAGGUCCACAUACCAACUCAUGGCCUAAGCUUGUCUAGAUCCUAGGUCUACAUACCAACUCAUGGCCUAACUUGUUCUCAAUCCUAAGUCCA
Molecule: long non-coding RNA, 522 nt
Organism: Haliotis rubra (blacklip abalone)
Lineage: Eukaryota; Metazoa; Mollusca; Gastropoda; Lepetellida; Haliotidae
Exons: 4
Source: RefSeq, a predicted model, not a curated record